RNAcentral lists this non-coding RNA (948 nucleotides) under Ischnocnema octavioi. Lineage: Eukaryota; Metazoa; Chordata; Amphibia; Anura; Brachycephalidae. The record is from RNAcentral.
AACCCUAAAAAGUCCUCUACACACAAAAGUUUAGUCCUGACUUUAGAGUCAAUUACCCCUCAACUUACACAUGCAAGCCUCCCCACCCCUGUGAGUACGCCCUUUUCCUCCCGCCCGGAGCAAGGAGCUGGUAUCAGGCCACUUGAGCCCAAGACACCUAGCAACAGCCACACCCACAAGGGCCACAGCAGUGAUUAACAUUAGGAAUAAGCGCCAGCUUGACCUAGUCAGAGGACCAAAGGCCGGCUAAGCUGGUGCCAGCCGCCGCGGUUACACCACGAGGCCCAAAUUGACUCCACUCGGCGUAAAGAGUGGUUAAAGCCAAAAACAAGUAGAGCCAAACCCGAGCUAGGUGGUGACAUACCUGCUCCGUGGAAGCCCACAAACGAAAGUUACUCUAUUAUUACAGCUUGAACCCACGACAACCGGGACACAAACUAGGAUCAGAUACCCUACUAUGCCCGGCCAUAAACUUUAAUUUACCCCCACAUCGCCAAGGAACUACGAGCUAUGCUUAAAACCUAAAGGACUUGACGGUACCCCAUAUCCCCCUAGAGGAGCCUGUCCUAUAAUUGAUGACCCCCGCUUUACCUCACCACUUCUAGCUUUUCAGCCUGUAUACCUCCGUCCCAGCCCACCAUGUGAACGAACUAAGUGAGCUUAAACAUUCAUGUCUCCCAACAUCAGGUCAAGGUGCAACAAAUGAAGUGGGAAGAGAUGGGCUACACUCUCUACCCUAGAAAACACGGAAAGUCACUAUGCAACCUGACUGGAAGGCGGAUUUAGCAGUAAAAAGAGGGCAGAGUACUCUUUUUAACCCGGCACUGGGGUGUGUACACACCGCCCGUCACCCUCUUCAAGACAUAACAACAGUAAUUAACAAACCACAAGUCACUAAGAAGAGGCAAGUCGUAACAUGGUAAGCAUACCGGAAGGUGUGCUUGGCAA